GACGGAGGAUGCAAGUGUUAUCCGGAAUCACUGGGCGUAAAGCGUCUGUAGGUGGUCAAAUAAGUCAACUGUUAAAUCUUGAGGCUCAACCUCAAAAUCGCAGUCGAAACUAUUCGACUAGAGUAUAGUAGGGGUAAAGGGAAGUUUCCAGUGGAGCGGUGAAAUGCGUAGAGAUUGGAAAGAACACCGAUGGCGAAGGCACUUUACUGGGCUAUUACUAACACUGAGAGACGAAAGCUAGGGUAGCAAAUGGG
Molecule: ribosomal RNA, 254 nt
Filed under: uncultured bacterium
Lineage: Bacteria
Description: partial 16S ribosomal RNA
Rfam family: Bacterial small subunit ribosomal RNA
Source: RNAcentral